RNAcentral lists this ribosomal RNA (482 nucleotides) under uncultured bacterium. Its description in RNAcentral is "partial 16S ribosomal RNA". It matches the Rfam family "Bacterial small subunit ribosomal RNA", at positions 30 to 507 of the family's 1533-position model. The record is from RNAcentral.
AUUGAACGCUGGCGGCAUGCCUUACACAUGCAAGUCGAACGGUAACGGGCCUUCGGGUGCCGACGAGUGGCGCACGGGUGCGUAAUACAUCGGAACGUGCCCGAUCGUGGGGGAUAACGAGGCGAAAGCUUUGCUAAUACCGCAUACGAUCUACGGAUGAAAGCCGGGGACCGCAAGGCCUUGCGCGGGCGGAGCGGCCGAUGGCAGAUUAGGUAGUUGGUGGGGUAAAAGCUUACCAAGCCGACGAUCUGUAGCUGGUCUGAGAGGAUGAUCAGCCACACUGGGACUGAGACACGGCCCAGACUCCUACGGGAGGCAGCAGUGGGGAAUUUUGGACAAUGGGCGCAAGCCUGAUCCAGCCAUGCCGCGUGCAGGAUGAAGGUCUUCGGGUUGUAAACUGCUUUUGUACGGGAAGAAAAGCCUUCUUUUAAUACAGGGGGGUCAUGACGGUACCGUAAGAAUAAGCACCGGCUAACUACGUG